Molecule: long non-coding RNA, 821 nt
Filed under: Anser cygnoides (Swan goose)
Lineage: Eukaryota; Metazoa; Chordata; Aves; Anseriformes; Anatidae
Description: lncRNA (ENSACDG00005002387.1)
Source: RNAcentral
AGGGGGCGACUGCAAGGGGGGUGCAUGGGUCAAGGGGUGCGGUGCAAAGCGGGGUGCAGUGCAAAGGGUGGGGCAGGGAAACGAGGGGGUGCUAGAGCAAGGUGGAGUGCAGUGCAGGGCGGGGUUCGGCUGAAAAGGGUGCACGGAGGAGAAGCGUGCGGCGGGCAGGGGUGCAAGCCUCAGAGCUUCCAGCGUGAUGGUGCUUGGGGAAAGCUGCAGGAAACGCCGACGUUCGUCCUCUGGCAGACCUGGGCGGGAAGAGGGAGCACGCCGUGUUGCUGGUGGAAAUGAUCAACGACAAACGUGACCCAUCAAUUAACGUGGAUCACGAGUCUGAGCAGGAACCAGCUAGGCCAAGUCCAACUCUCAGGCAGUUUUAUUCCUUGCUCCCUGUCUGUUUCUUGAGACUGAAAAUCCAGCCACCCUAUUUCAUGAGGAUACUCUCCGAGGUGGUUAUAUGGCACGACAUUGGGCGCUGGGAAGAGAAUGCCUUGUUUACGUUCCCCAACGUGCCUCCAGUUCCCUUUGUGACCACAGCGAGUUCCUUAAACUCUGCAGAUCUGCAAUCCAGAAUGACAAGCAAAACUUACAUGUCAAGGGCAUCUGAAGCCUGACGGAUUUUUGCGUGGAGCUUCAGAUCCCCAUGAGGACGGCAGCUGAGAAAAGAAGAUAAAACCCUGUUGUAAGGGUGGUAGUGAUGGAUACCGAUUAUUAUUUGUUUAAUUAAAAGAGCCUGGACAGACGCAGAGGCAACAAUUAAUUAUCUCAUGUAAAAACUUUGACCACGGCUAAAUAAAUUAAUGGGUUAUGAGAUGAAGACA